CCUACGGGAGGCAGCAGUGAGGAAUAUUGGUCAAUGGACGAGAGGCUGAACCAGCCAAGUCGCGUGAAGGAUGAAUGCCCUAUGGGUUGUAAACUUCUUUUAUAUGGGAAUAAAAUGUUCCACGUGUGGCAGUUUGUAUGUACCUUAUGAAUAAGGAUCGGCUAACUCCGUGCCAGCAGCCGCGGUAAUACGGAGGAUCCGAGCGUUAUCCGGAUUUAUUGGGUUUAAAGGGAGCGUAGGUGGAUUGUUAAGUCAGUUGUUAAAGUUUGCGGCUCAACCGUCAAAUUGCGGUUGAAACUGGCAGUCUUGAGUACAGUAGAGGUAGGCGGAAUUCGUGGUGUAGCGGUGAAAUGCUUAGAUAUCACGAAGAACUCCGAUUGCGAAGGCAGUUCACUGGACUGCAACUGACACUGAGGCUCGAAAGUGUGGGUAUCAAACAGGAUUAGAUACCCUUGUAGUC
This 460-nucleotide ribosomal RNA is filed under the name uncultured bacterium. RNAcentral's name for it is "partial 16S ribosomal RNA". It matches the Rfam family "Bacterial small subunit ribosomal RNA", at positions 338 to 795 of the family's 1533-position model. The record is from RNAcentral.